AACUUGAAAAUUUUCUAAGUUAAAAAAUACUUAAGAUUGAAAAGGUGUAUCAUUGUUAUAACAACUUUUAACUUAUUUAAAAGAAAGUUUAUGAGCACCUAAAGCUUAUAACAAUGAAUUAUAUAUAUUGUACCUAUGAAAAUUCUUCAUGAACUUGAUCGCCAUCUUCAAUCUUGAACACUUGAUCAUGACCGAUCUUUUUCUUCUUUUCGCAUGUUUGUCGUCAUCAAAAUAACUUCACUUUAGAAGCUUGUCUUCACAUUUCUCUCACCUUCCAUCUCGUCCUUCACAAUCACAACCACCACCACCUGUGAGGGAGUGGCCGAGUGAGAGAUUUGCCAGUGGGAGACAUAGAGUUCCGACCGUG
RNAcentral lists this long non-coding RNA (367 nucleotides) under Trifolium pratense (red clover). Its description in RNAcentral is "long non-coding RNA (TPRA_LNC006260)". The record is from RNAcentral. Lineage: Eukaryota; Viridiplantae; Streptophyta; Magnoliopsida; Fabales; Fabaceae.